GAUGAACGCUAGCUACAGGCUUAACACAUGCAAGUCGAGGGGCAGCGGGAUUGAAGCUUGCUUCAAUUGCCGGCGACCGGCGCACGGGUGAGUAACGCGUAUCCAACCUUCCGUACACUCAGGGAUAGCCUUUCGAAAGAAAGAUUAAUACCUGAUGGUAUGAUGAGAUUGCUUGAUAUCAUCAUUAAAGAUUUAUCGGUGUACGAUGGGGAUGCGUUCCAUUAGGUAGUAGGCGGGGUAACGGCCCACCUAGCCAACGAUGGAUAGGGGUUCUGAGAGGAAGGUCCCCCACAUUGGAACUGAGACACGGUCCAAACUCCUACGGGAGGCAGCAGUGAGGAAUAUUGGUCAAUGGACGAGAGUCUGAACCAGCCAAGUAGCGUGAAGGAUGAAGGUCCUACGGAUUGUAAACUUCUUUUAUAAGGGAAUAAACCCUCCCACGUGUGGGAGCUUGUAUGUACCUUAUGAAUAAGCAUCGGCUAACUCCGUG
RNAcentral lists this ribosomal RNA (490 nucleotides) under uncultured bacterium. RNAcentral describes it as "partial 16S ribosomal RNA". It matches the Rfam family "Bacterial small subunit ribosomal RNA", at positions 28 to 507 of the family's 1533-position model. The record is from RNAcentral.